Molecule: ribosomal RNA, 447 nt
Filed under: uncultured bacterium
Lineage: Bacteria
Description: bacterial SSU rRNA
Rfam family: Bacterial small subunit ribosomal RNA
Source: RNAcentral
UCGGGAAUUUUGGGCAAUGGGCGAAAGCCUGACCCAGCAACGCCGCGUGAAGGAUGAAAUCCCUCGGGAUGUAAACUUCGCAAGAAUGGGAAGAAUUAGUAGGGGCUAAUACCCCCUAUGAUGACGGUACCAUUUGUAAGCUCCGGCUAACUCCGUGCCAGCAGCCGCGGUAAUACGGGGGGAGCAAGCGUUGUUCGGAUUUACUGGGCGUAAAGGGCGCGUAGGCGGCCAGCGCAAGUCAGUUGUGAAAUCUCCGGGCUUAACUCGGAAAGGUCAACUGAUACUGCGCGGCUAGAGUGCGGAAGGGGCAACUGGAAUUCUCGGUGUAGCGGUGAAAUGCGUAGAUAUCGAGAGGAACACCUGCGGCGAAGGCGGGUUGCUGGGCCGACACUGACGCUGAUGCGCGAAAGCCAGGGGAGCGAACGGGAUUAGAUACCCCCGUAGUCC